GUAGGCAAGAGCAACUCACAUAUGCCUCGAUUGUGGCUUUAUUUACACCUUACAAAAGCCUUUUGACGAGCAGCCUGAUGGUUAUGCGUGCCCGCAAUGUCUAGCCCCAAAGAAAAGAUUUGCAGAAUAUGACGUCAAUACUGGAAAAGCAAUUGGUGGUGGUUUGCCACCUAUAGGAGUUAUCGUGGGUUUGAUCGCCGGGAUUGCAGGAGUUGGAGCUUUGCUUGUAUAUGGUCUUCAAUAAUUUGAUGAUUUUGAUUCUAAGACUCUUAUCUAAUUAUAUGUACUGUUAUAAAGAAAAUAUCUAUUUUUCUACCGCACCAAA
Long non-coding RNA from Papaver somniferum (opium poppy), 325 nucleotides. RefSeq lists it as uncharacterized. The record is from RefSeq and is a predicted model, not a curated record. Lineage: Eukaryota; Viridiplantae; Streptophyta; Magnoliopsida; Ranunculales; Papaveraceae. The transcript has 2 exons.